GCAGCAACGCCGCGUGAGGGACGACGGCCUUCGGGUUGUAAACCUCUUUUAGCAGGGAAGAAGCGAAAGUGACGGUACCUGCAGAAAAAGCACCGGCUAACUACGUGCCAGCAGCCGCGGUAAUACGUAGGGUGCAAGCGUUAUCCGGAAUUAUUGGGCGUAAAGAGCUCGUAGGCGGUUUGUCGCGUCUGCUGUGAAACCCCGAGGCUCAACCUCGGGCCUGCAGUGGGUACGGGCAGACUAGAGUGCGGUAGGGGAGAUUGGAAUUCCUGGUGUAGCGGUGGAAUGCGCAGAUAUCAGGAGGAACACCGAUGGCGAAGGCAGAUCUCUGGGCCGUAACUGACGCUGAGGAGCGAAAGGGUGGGGAGCAAACAGGCUUAGAUACCCUGGUAGUCCACCCCGUAAACGUUGGGAACUAGUUGUGGGGUCCAUUCCACGGAUUCCGUGACGCAGCUAACGCAUUAAGUUCCCCGCCUGGGGAGUACGGCCGCAAGGCUAAAACUCAAAGGAAUUGACGGGGACCCGCACAAGCGGCGGAGCAUGCGGAUUAAUUCGAUGCAACGCGAAGAACCUUACCAAGGCUUGACAUAUACGAGAACGGGCUAGAAAUAGUCAACUCUUUGGAC
RNAcentral lists this ribosomal RNA (626 nucleotides) under Microbacterium sp. So3Pw_2971. Its description in RNAcentral is "bacterial SSU rRNA". It matches the Rfam family "Bacterial small subunit ribosomal RNA", at positions 388 to 1027 of the family's 1533-position model. The record is from RNAcentral. Lineage: Bacteria; Bacillati; Actinomycetota; Actinomycetes; Micrococcales; Microbacteriaceae.